This 247-nucleotide ribosomal RNA is filed under the name Crepidotus sp. 2 CRJH-2017. Its description in RNAcentral is "partial 28S ribosomal RNA". It matches the Rfam family "Eukaryotic large subunit ribosomal RNA", at positions 104 to 344 of the family's 3401-position model. Lineage: Eukaryota; Fungi; Basidiomycota; Agaricomycetes; Agaricales; Crepidotaceae. The record is from RNAcentral.
AAAGCUCAAAUUUGAAAUCUGGCAGUCUUUGAUUGUCCGAGUUGUAAUCUAGAGAAGUGUUACCCGCGUUGGACCGUGUAAAAGUCUCCUGGAAUGGAGCGUCAUAGAGGGUGAGAAUCCCGUCUUUGACACGGACUGCCAAGGCUUUGUGGUGCGCUCUCAAAGAGUCGAGUUGUUUGGGAAUGCAGCUCAAAAUGGGUGGUAAAUGCCAUCUAAAGCUAAAUAUUGGCGAGAGACCGAUAGCGAA